UGAGGAUAUAACUCAGUGGUAGAGUGCUUAUCUAGAAUUCAAGAGAUCCUGAGUUUGAUCCUCAUCACCACAA
RNAcentral lists this transfer RNA (73 nucleotides) under Marmota monax (woodchuck). RNAcentral describes it as "tRNA.Ser". Lineage: Eukaryota; Metazoa; Chordata; Mammalia; Rodentia; Sciuridae. The record is from RNAcentral.